Molecule: ribosomal RNA, 253 nt
Filed under: uncultured Conexibacter sp.
Lineage: Bacteria; Bacillati; Actinomycetota; Thermoleophilia; Solirubrobacterales; Conexibacteraceae
Description: partial 16S ribosomal RNA
Rfam family: Bacterial small subunit ribosomal RNA
Source: RNAcentral
UACGUAGGGGGCAAGCGUUGUCCGGAAUCAUUGGGCGUAAAGAGCGUGUAGGCGGCCUGAUCAGUCUGCUGUGAAAGUCCAGGGCUUAACCCUGGAAUGCCGGUGGAUACUGUCAGGCUUGAGUCCGGAAGAGGCGAGUGGAACUCCUGGUGUAGCGGUGGAAUGCGCAGAUAUCAGGAAGAACACCAAUGGCGAAGGCAGCUCGCUGGGACGGUACUGACGCUGAGACGCGAAAGCGUGGGGAGCAAACAGG